Molecule: long non-coding RNA, 551 nt
Filed under: Hordeum vulgare
Lineage: Eukaryota; Viridiplantae; Streptophyta; Magnoliopsida; Poales; Poaceae
Description: long non-coding RNA (HVUL_LNC014711)
Source: RNAcentral
AAACAAUCAAUUUGAAAUAUCCAGUAACAAAUGAAUUUUAUUCUAAAGCAAAGUAAAUAUACUGAAGUCAAGAAAAAGAGAAAAUAGGGAAACAAUUGUCUACUCUAUAUAGUGAAAUAAGAAAGAAAAACAGAAGAAAAAAAAUACAACGAUACAUCAUGAGAAGAAGAUAAAAAGAAAAAGAAAUUAAAAUGAGCUUAGCCCUCACCCGCAAAAAAGAAAAAGAAAAAAGAAAGAACUUAUUACCCCUAGAAGCUAUAGUGAACAAAUGACAAAACAUGCACAAAGCUAGCAGCGUGGCAUCUUUAGACCCCAUCUUUCUUUACCUCGGUUAAAAAAGAAAAGAAAAGACUCACAAAACUCAGCUCGUUUAAAUAAGCAAAAAGGCCUGGAGAAAACUCAUGCACAUGGCUGAUCCUCCUACGAGACGAGCCGUCCAUCAUGGCUCCCGCAAUUAACAAAAGACAGGGUGAAUCUAGCGAGACAACCAGAGGGCCAUAAAGUGACUAUGACCAUACUUAAAACUCAGCUAGCUGAGUUUCAGCAAAACU